CAGUCGCCGCGGUAAUACGGAGGGUGCAAGCGUUAAUCGGAAUUACUGGGCGUAAAGCGCACGCAGGCGGUUUGUUAAGUCAGAUGUGAAAUCCCCGAGCUUAACUUGGGAACUGCAUUUGAAACUGGCAAGCUAGAGUCUUGUAGAGGGGGGUAGAAUUCCAGGUGUAGCGGUGAAAUGCGUAGAGAUCGGGAGGAACAUCAGUGGCGAAGGCGGCCAUCUGGGACAACACUGACGCUGAGGCACGAAAGCGUGGGGAGCAAACAGGAUUAGAUACCCCUGUAGUCCCUGUCUCUUAUAC
RNAcentral lists this ribosomal RNA (301 nucleotides) under uncultured bacterium. RNAcentral's name for it is "partial 16S ribosomal RNA". It matches the Rfam family "Bacterial small subunit ribosomal RNA", at positions 509 to 807 of the family's 1533-position model. The record is from RNAcentral.